This is a long non-coding RNA of Eriocheir sinensis (Chinese mitten crab), 656 nucleotides long. RefSeq lists it as uncharacterized. NCBI's taxonomy places the organism in Eukaryota, Metazoa, Arthropoda, Malacostraca, Decapoda, Varunidae. The record is from RefSeq and is a predicted model, not a curated record. The transcript is spliced from 3 exons.
AGGUUAUUUCACUUAUCACAUUUACGGACAUACAAGGGUGCAGGUUAUUUCACUUAUCACAUUUACGGACAUACAAGGGGUGCUGGUUAUUUCACUUAUCACAUUUACGGACAUACAAGGGGUGCUGGUUAUUUCACUUAUCACAUUUACGGACAUACAAGGGGUGCAGGUUAUCUCACUUAUCACAUUUACGGACAUACAAGGGGUGCUGGUUAUCUCAUUUAUCACAUUUACCGACAUACAAGGGGUGCAGGUUAUCUCAUUUAUCACAUUUACCGACAUACAAGGGGUGCAGGUUAUCUCAUUUAUCACAUUUACCGACAUACAAGGGGUGCAGGUUAUCUCAUUUAUCACAUUUACCGACAUACAAGGGGUGCAGGUUAUCUCAUUUAUCACAUUUACCGACAUACAAGGGGUGCAGGUUAUCUCAUUUAUCACAUUUACCGACAAACAAGGGGUGCAGGUUAUCUCAUUUAUCACAUUUACCGACAAACAAGGGGUGCAGGUUAUCUCAUUUAUCACAUUUACCGACAAACAAGGGGUGCAGGUUAUCUCAUUUAUCACAUUUACCGACAAACAAGGGUGCAGGUUAUCUCAUUUAUCACAUUUACCGACAAACAAGGGGUGCAGGUUAUCUCAUUUAUCACAUUUACCGA